This 66-nucleotide transfer RNA is filed under the name Bungarus multicinctus (many-banded krait). RNAcentral's name for it is "tRNA-Ala". The record is from RNAcentral. Lineage: Eukaryota; Metazoa; Chordata; Lepidosauria; Squamata; Elapidae.
GGAGUCUUAGUUUAAGUUAAAAUAUCUAUGUUGCAUAUAGGUGAUGCGGUGUAGCUGCAGGCUCUA